AUUGUUUGUGGCGUCCUGACGCUAGAUUUGUUGAGAUAACUGAGUGAUUGUUGAGAGACAUGAUAAUGUUGGUGUUGAACAAGAAGAAUGUCUAGCAGCUAACACCUCACACUUAACAGGGAAAAGGCUGGAUUUGUCUAAUAGGACAAUGAAAACCAAACUUAAAAGAAAUUAGAAAAAUAGAAGAAGAAGAAAUUAAAAAAGAAAAAUAACAAGAAGUGGUCCUGAAUUGCUAAACUUGCACAAGCCACCGAGACAGCAUCAGUGUCAUCAACCUCUGAUCCGACAGAGUUUGUCAAAACAGUGAAGGCUGCCUAGUAUUCAACAAAUUUGAUUUUGGAGAACUAUCUUAUCCCUCACCCAUUCUGAACAAGACCACUUUAGAUUCAAAAGUGGCAACGAAAAAAAAAAAAAAAACAAAGCCAAAGUGAAAAUCUUGGAUGGGCAAACUGAAGUUGAAUGCGAGAAGUAUUGAAGAGAAACAGGCGUGAAAAGGUGCUCUGCAAAGAGCUGAAGGUUUUCAGGUAAAAAACCAUGUGGAAUUGCUUGCUAAAUCUAUUAAGAAACAAGAUGAAAUCAAAUCAAAUUGUAAAAGAAGUUGGCUGAACGCAUCGAAGAAUAGGAAAAGAGAAAGGAAUAACAAGAGAAAACGAGAAAAGCAAACAUUAAGAAAAAGAAAACUGAAAAGAAAGAACAUAAACCGAAUGAACACCUCACACUUAACAGGGAAAAAGCUGGAAUUGUCUGAUAGGACAACGAAAAUCAAACUUAAACGGAAGUUAGAGGGAAUGAACAAGAAAUUAAAAAGGAAAAGUAAGAAGAAAAGGUCCUGAGUUGCCAAACAUGCUUGAGCCACCAAGGCAGCUUCUGUGUCAUCAACCUCUGGUCUUUCAGAGUUUGUUAAAACAGAAAUUCCUAAACCAAGACUAGCAAGUACACUGCCAACACCAAUUUUUAACAGUGAAGGCUGCCUAGUUUCCAGCAAAUGCGAUUUUGGAGAACUAUCUAAUUCCUCACCCAUUCUGAAAAAGACCACUUCAGAUCCAGAAGUGGCAACGAUUAAAAUGAAAGAAAAUAAAACUUAAACCAAAAAUGAAAAUCUUGGUAGGCCAAGCUGAAGUUCAAAUGCAAGAAGUAUUGAAGAGAAACAGGCAUAAAAUGGUGCUCUGCAAAUAGCUGAAGGUUUUCAGGUAAAAGACUAUGUGGAAUUGCUUGCCAAAUCAAUGAACAAGAUCAAAUCAGAAAGUAACAUAAAUUGCGCUGAACGAAACGAAGAAAAGGAAAAGAGAAAAAAAUAACUACAGAAAAAAAGACAAACCAACAUUAAGAAAAAUUAAACUGAAAAGAAAGAACAUUAAGUGAAUAAACCAAAGAAAAACAGGCAAAUUUAUCGUAUGAAAUAAUGAUACUGUCUCAUGGACGAGCUAAACUCGUGUUCUUUCAUGUGCAAGCCAUGUCGUGAUAGUUUUUUUAACAAUACACUAGCAUGCUUUCCAUGACCGUGGAAAAUUUAAAGAA
Daphnia carinata is the source of this 1518-nucleotide long non-coding RNA. RefSeq lists it as uncharacterized. The transcript has 6 exons. Lineage: Eukaryota; Metazoa; Arthropoda; Branchiopoda; Diplostraca; Daphniidae. The record is from RefSeq and is a predicted model, not a curated record.